GUCUGUGUGCCCCACACAGGUACCUGUAACCCCUGCCCCCAGAUGGGACCACGAGGCCACAGCAUGAGGGGGUGCUGCCCAUGAGCCUCAGAUCAACACUGUCACAGGGUUACAUCAAAACACAGCCGGGGGCUGUCCUGGUUCCCCCAGCAAGAGAGGAAGAGGACGAGGUGCCCCUAAGGACCACCUUUCGCCUGACCUCCGUCCAUCUGCCACGUCAACACGUUGUAGGAGGAGCCCCCAGCUCCACUAGCCAGUCCCAAGCUCCCAAGGACUCAGCUCGCUCUGCCCAAAACACUGGCCCCCAGGACACUGGCCAGGCCUCUCUGAAGACUUUAAAGCCCCCAACCCUAAAGAAAAUAGGGUUUUUAUCCCAGCCUCCAGCCUGAUUCAAACAAGCCCAUUCUUAAGAGCUCUACCUGCAACCCGUGGGAAUGUUUGUUUCUGCUGGGUCUGCCUCCCGCGCUGCAAAGUUGGCCCUGUGAAAGCAGCUAAUGGAUAUGUUUGCGUUGCUUCAGUCUCCCCGGGACCCAGCACUGUGCCUGGACCGUGGCAGCUCCUGAGAAGCACCCGACAAUGCCACUCAGACCACAAACUCCAGGGGUGCCUGCCUGGCAGGACGCUGCUAGAACAGACAGCUCCGUGAGAACCGCGUGGUCUGUGAUGACUCAGUAAUAGCGGCCGGCGUCGCAUGACGACGACCACGACGGUGACAAGCGUCCCUGUCGCCCCCGGCUGGCCCCAGGUCAGCGCGCUUUCCGGGGAGCGGAUGGGGGACGGCACCCCAAGUUUGACUGAGGCCGCGCCCCCCGCGCCCCUCGGGCCGUGCGGGAGGCCCCUGCCCUGCCCUCCGUCCGCGAGACCCUCCUCAUCCUGCGUCGGUUUCUGUGGUUC
This is a long non-coding RNA of Bos taurus (domestic cattle), 894 nucleotides long. Lineage: Eukaryota; Metazoa; Chordata; Mammalia; Artiodactyla; Bovidae. The record is from Ensembl.